Molecule: long non-coding RNA, 295 nt
Organism: Rhipicephalus sanguineus (brown dog tick)
Lineage: Eukaryota; Metazoa; Arthropoda; Arachnida; Ixodida; Ixodidae
Exons: 3
Source: RefSeq, a predicted model, not a curated record
CCUCUUGAGUGUGACUUUCACACGACAGGGGCUCCUCAGCCGAGGCUGUGGCCCUGAACCUGCUCAGGCGCUUCUCCGAGAAGCAGCUGCCUAAGGCGUCAGACUUGCAGUGGCUGGUCUCAGAGCAGGAUGCUGCCCAGUCGCUGCUGCCCCUGCCUGAUGCCUGGCCUGUUUCACCCGACCAAGUGGAGGAGGACUACUAUGCUUUGCACAAGAUGCGUCUUCGGGGGAACUCUGAGUGGGCACCACCAAGGGAACAAAUCAUCUUCAGCAUGCAGCCAGAACUGAGGUAAGC